This 465-nucleotide ribosomal RNA is filed under the name uncultured bacterium. Its description in RNAcentral is "partial 16S ribosomal RNA". It matches the Rfam family "Bacterial small subunit ribosomal RNA", at positions 28 to 507 of the family's 1533-position model. The record is from RNAcentral.
GACGAACGCUGGCGGCGUGCUUAACACAUGCAAGUCGAACGGAAAGGCCCUGCUUGCAGGGUACUCGAGUGGCGAACGGGUGAGUAACACGUGGGUGAUCUGCCCUGCACUUCGGGAUAAGCUUGGGAAACUGGGUCUAAUACCGGAUAGGAACCAUCUUUAGUGUGGUGGUUGGAAAGUUUUUUCGGUGUAGGAUGAGCUCGCGGCCUAUCAGCUUGUUGGUGGGGUAAUGGCCUACCAAGGCGGCGACGGGUAGCCGGCCUGAGAGGGUGUACGGCCACAUUGGGACUGAGAUACGGCCCAGACGCCUACGGGAGGCAGCAGUGGGGAAUAUUGCACAAUGGGCGCAAGCCUGAUGCAGCGACGCCGCGUGGGGGAUGAAGGCCUUCGGGUUGUAAACUCCUUUCGCUAGGGACGAAGCUUUUUGUGACGGUACCUAGAUAAGAAGCACCGGCUAACUACGUG